AGGUCUCCGUUGGUGAACCAGCGGAGGGAUCAUUGCUGGAACGCGCUUCGGCGCACCCAGAAACCCUUUGUGAACUUAUACCUAUCUGUUGCCUCGGCGCAGGCCGGCCUUUUGUGACAAAGGCCCCCUGGAAACAGGGAGCAGCCCGCCGGCGGCCAACUAAACUCUUGUUUCUAUAGUGAAUCUCUGAGUAAAAACAUAAAUGAAUCAAAACUUUCAACAACGGAUCUCUUGGUUCUGGCAUCGAUGAAGAACGCAGCGAAAUGCGAUAAGUAAUGUGAAUUGCAGAAUUCAGUGAAUCAUCGAAUCUUUGAACGCACAUUGCGCCCUCUGGUAUUCCGGAGGGCAUGCCUGUUCGAGCGUCAUUUCAACCCUCAAGCCUGGCUUGGUGAUGGGGCACUGCCUUCUAGCGAGGGCAGGCCCUGAAAUCUAGUGGCGAGCUCGCUAGGACCCCGAGCGUAGUAGUUAUAUCUCGUUCUGGAAGGCCCUGGCGGUGCCCUGCCGUUAAACCCCCAACUUCUGAAAAUU
Molecule: ribosomal RNA, 528 nt
Filed under: fungal endophyte
Lineage: Eukaryota; Fungi
Description: eukaryotic LSU rRNA
Rfam family: 5.8S ribosomal RNA (bases 212-365)
Source: RNAcentral